GCCGCAAUAGCUCAGUUGGUAGAGCAACGCAUUCGUAAUGCGUGGGUCAGGGGUUCGAAUCCUCUUUGCGGCACCA
Molecule: transfer RNA, 76 nt
Filed under: Burkholderiales bacterium
Lineage: Bacteria; Pseudomonadati; Pseudomonadota; Betaproteobacteria; Burkholderiales
Also listed under: 5 other names
Description: tRNA-Thr
Rfam family: tRNA
About the family: Transfer RNA (tRNA) molecules are approximately 80 nucleotides in length. Their secondary structure includes four short double-helical elements and three loops (D, anti-codon, and T loops). Further hydrogen bonds mediate the characteristic L-shaped molecular structure. tRNAs have two regions of fundamental functional importance: the anti-codon, which is responsible for specific mRNA codon recognition, and the 3' end, to which the tRNAs corresponding amino acid is attached (by aminoacyl-tRNA synthetases). tRNAs cope with the degeneracy of the genetic code in two manners: having more than one tRNA (with a specific anti-codon) for a particular amino acid; and 'wobble' base-pairing, i.e. permitting non-standard base-pairing at the 3rd anti-codon position.
Source: RNAcentral